RNAcentral lists this ribosomal RNA (120 nucleotides) under uncultured bacterium. RNAcentral's name for it is "partial 16S ribosomal RNA". It matches the Rfam family "Bacterial small subunit ribosomal RNA", at positions 796 to 915 of the family's 1533-position model. The record is from RNAcentral.
CACGCCGUAAACGAUGGAUACUAGGUGUGGGGGGUCUGACCCCCUCCGUGCCGCAGUUAACACAAUAAGUAUCCCACCUGGGGAGUACGAUCGCAAGGUUGAAACUCAAAGGAAUUGACG